Molecule: ribosomal RNA, 119 nt
Filed under: Arabis alpina (gray rockcress)
Lineage: Eukaryota; Viridiplantae; Streptophyta; Magnoliopsida; Brassicales; Brassicaceae
Description: rRNA ENSRNAG00050207865
Source: RNAcentral
GGGGUGCAACACGAGGACUUCCCAGGAGGUCACCCAUCCUAGUACUACUCUCGCCCAAGCACGCUUAGCUGCGGAGUUCCGAUGGGAUCCGGUGCAUUAGUGCUGGUAUGAUCUCACCC